GUGGACGCAUCACUGGUGUUCGGGUUGUCAUGCCAAUGGCACUGCCCGGUAGCUAAAUGCGGAAGAGAUAAGUGCUGAAAGCAUCUAAGCACGAAACUUGCCCCGAGAUGAGUUCUCCCUGACCCUUUAAGGGUCCUGAAGGAACGUUGAAGACGACGACGUUGAUAGGCCGGGUGUGUAAGCGCAGCGAUGCGUUGAGCUAACCGGUACUAAUGAACCGUGAGGCUUAACCUUACAACGCCGAAGGUGUUU
Molecule: ribosomal RNA, 252 nt
Filed under: Escherichia coli
Lineage: Bacteria; Pseudomonadati; Pseudomonadota; Gammaproteobacteria; Enterobacterales; Enterobacteriaceae
Description: partial 23S ribosomal RNA
Rfam family: Bacterial large subunit ribosomal RNA
Source: RNAcentral